This 248-nucleotide ribosomal RNA is filed under the name uncultured euryarchaeote. RNAcentral's name for it is "partial 16S ribosomal RNA". It matches the Rfam family "Archaeal small subunit ribosomal RNA", at positions 371 to 618 of the family's 1478-position model. The record is from RNAcentral. Lineage: Archaea; Methanobacteriati; Methanobacteriota.
UAAGGGAACCUCGAGUGCCAGGUUACAAAUCUGGCUGUCGUGAUGCCUAAAAAAGCAUUGCAUAGCAAGGGCCGGGCAAGACCGGUGCCAGCCGCCGCGGUAACACCGGCGGCUCGAGUGGUAACCGUUAUUAUUGGGUCUAAAGGGUCUGUAGCCGGCCGGAUAAGUCUCUUGGGAAAUCUGGCAGCUUAACUGUCAGGCUUUCAGGAGAUACUGUCUGGCUCGAGGCCGGGAGAGGUGAGAGGUAC